CCCUUAGAUGUUCUGGGCCGCACGCGUGCUACACUGAGUGGAUCAGCGGGUCAGGUUGCGCGAAGCGUUUCCUAAUCUUUAAAUCCGCUCGUGAUGGGGAUUGACGGUUGCAAUUUUCUGUCAUGAACGAGGAAUACCUUGUAAGCGCGGGUCAUCAUCCCGCGCUGAAUACGUCCCUGCCCUUUGUACACACCGCCCGUCGCUCCUACCGAUUGAGUGGUCCGGUGAGGCUUUGGGAUCUGAGCGGAAAGAGCGUUUCGCUGUUUCUGCUCGGAAAACUCAGUCGAACCUUAUCAUUUAGAGGAAGGAGAAGUCGUAACA
Molecule: ribosomal RNA, 321 nt
Filed under: uncultured eukaryote
Lineage: Eukaryota
Description: partial 18S ribosomal RNA
Rfam family: Eukaryotic small subunit ribosomal RNA
Source: RNAcentral